Parelaphostrongylus tenuis is the source of this 71-nucleotide non-coding RNA. The record is from the annotation of a GenBank genome assembly. NCBI's taxonomy places the organism in Eukaryota, Metazoa, Nematoda, Chromadorea, Rhabditida, Metastrongylidae.
GCUUUGGUGGUUCAGUAGUAGCAUUCUCGCCUAUGACGCGAGCGACCCGGGUUCGAUUCCCGACUAAUCCA